UUGACCCUCAAUCAGGUAGGACUACC
RNAcentral lists this ribosomal RNA (26 nucleotides) under Melanoleuca strictipes. RNAcentral's name for it is "partial 28S ribosomal RNA". Lineage: Eukaryota; Fungi; Basidiomycota; Agaricomycetes; Agaricales; Pluteaceae. The record is from RNAcentral.